This 329-nucleotide ribosomal RNA is filed under the name uncultured eukaryote. RNAcentral describes it as "partial 18S ribosomal RNA". It matches the Rfam family "Eukaryotic small subunit ribosomal RNA", at positions 1470 to 1796 of the family's 1831-position model. The record is from RNAcentral.
CCCUUAGAUGUUCUGGGCCGCGCGCGCGCUACACUGUUUGAUUCAGCGAGUCUUAACCUUGACCGAAAGGUUUGGGUAAUCUUCUAAAGUCAAACGUGAUGGGGAUCGAUCAUUGCAAUUAUUGAUCGUGAACGAGGAAUUCCUAGUAAAUGCAAGUCAUCAGCUUGCGUUGAUUACGUCCCUGCCCUUUGUACACACCGCCCGUCGCUACUACCGAUUGAAUGGUUUAGUGAGAUCUCCGGAUUGGCUCUGUAGGUCCCGCAAGGGAUUUAUUAGUAGCCAAGAAGCUGCUCAAACUUGAUCAUUUAGAGGAAGUAAAAGUCGUAACA